AUUGAACGCUGGCGGCAGGCCUAACACAUGCAAGUCGAACGGUAACAGGAAGCAGCUUGCUGCUUCGCUGACGAGUGGCGGACGGGUGAGUAAUGUCUGGGAAACUGCCUGAUGGAGGGGGAUAACUACUGGAAACGGUAGCUAAUACCGCAUAACGUCGCAAGACCAAAGAGGGGGACCUUAGGGCCUCUUGCCAUCGGAUGUGCCCAGAUGGGAUUAGCUAGUAGGUGGGGUAACGGCUCACCUAGGCGACGAUCCCUAGCUGGUCUGAGAGGAUGACCAGCCACACUGGAACUGAGACACGGUCCAGACUCCUACGGGAGGCAGCAGUGGGGAAUAUUGCACAAUGGGCGCAAGCCUGAUGCAGCCAUGCCGCGUGUAUGAAGAAGGCCUUCGGGCUGUAAAGUACUUUCAGCGGGGAGGAAGGGAGUAAAGUUAAUACCUUUGCUCAUUGACGUUACCCGCAGAAGAAGCACCGGCUAACUCCGUG
This 490-nucleotide ribosomal RNA is filed under the name uncultured bacterium. Its description in RNAcentral is "partial 16S ribosomal RNA". It matches the Rfam family "Bacterial small subunit ribosomal RNA", at positions 30 to 507 of the family's 1533-position model. The record is from RNAcentral.